RNAcentral lists this ribosomal RNA (469 nucleotides) under uncultured bacterium. RNAcentral's name for it is "partial 16S ribosomal RNA". It matches the Rfam family "Bacterial small subunit ribosomal RNA", at positions 28 to 507 of the family's 1533-position model. The record is from RNAcentral.
GAUGAACGCUGGCGGCGUGCUUAACACAUGCAAGUCGAACGGUGAAGCUCCAGCUUGCUGGAGUGGAUCAGUGGCGAACGGGUGAGUAACACGUGAGCAACCUGCCCCUGACUCUGGGAUAACAGCCGGAAACGGCUGCUAAUACCGGAUAUGCACCAUGAACGCAUGUUCUGUGGUGGGAAAGAUUUUUCGGUUGGGGAUGGGCUCGCGGCCUAUCAGCUUGUUGGUGAGGUAAUGGCUCACCAAGGCGUCGACGGGUAGCCGGCCUGAGAGGGUGACCGGCCACACUGGGACUGAGACACGGCCCAGACUCCUACGGGAGGCAGCAGUGGGGAAUAUUGCACAAUGGGCGAAAGCCUGAUGCAGCAACGCCGCGUGAGGGAUGACGGCCUUCGGGUUGUAAACCUCUUUUAGCAGGGAAGAAGCGAGAGUGACGGUGCCUGCAGAAAAAGCGCCGGCUAACUACGUG